Molecule: long non-coding RNA, 2988 nt
Organism: Vollenhovia emeryi
Lineage: Eukaryota; Metazoa; Arthropoda; Insecta; Hymenoptera; Formicidae
Exons: 2
Source: RefSeq, a predicted model, not a curated record
CUCUCUCUCUCACUCUCACGAACGCACACGCACACGCGCGCGCACACACACAGUAAAAUCGCGAGGAUCGUUUCCUUGAACGUUAGUGAAAUUUUGCCAAAUUUCCUCCGUCUUUUACCAGUCAAUAUUACAUAGAGAGUCUGAACUUUAUUUAUCUCUCCGACUCUUUGCUCUCCAUUACGUCUUAUACUUCGGAGGAAGCUUAGACAAUCCGUUAUUAAGGACUCGCUAGCCUUUUAAUGUUUCUUGGAAAUUUUCUCUUUUACACCCUGUAAUCUUAUUUCUUUGGGGAGUAACACGUAGAGAGAAGCAUUGAUCUAAAUCUUACAACUUGAUUAACAUUGUUUUAAUGUUUACAGGAACAAUACUAUUUGUCCGUGGUAAAUGCCUACCGGUUCAGCGGACGUAACGAUGAAGCUUGAUUCGAGUUUAUCGAAAAUUGCAAAGUGGGAUACUGUAAGCGCAACUAACACGCCAAACUCUAACAAGUGUAGAGACACAAGAACAGGGUAGAAUUGUAAGUCUCGUGUAGCCGACUCUGUGAGAUCUUCUAGACCUUUCGUCCAAUUUUCGUGGAAUGCCCAGCGACUCUUCUUUUUUCCUAAGUGAUACAUCUAAAGUAAUGAUUAGCGAAUAGCGCGCGCGAUCGGUGUCAUCUGGACUCGAAGAAGCGGAUAGCGUAGAUAACGUAGAUUAACUAAUAGACAGUGCGUGCGAGAUUUUUGUAGUGUUAUCUUCGUCGAGCGUACGCGUAAGUGACUAGUAGUUUUCGUAGUUACGCGAGGACACGCGUCGCUCGUUACGGCGAAUUUGAGAGAAAAGUGUAAUAGUUGCUUGGUGGAGACAUCCUCAUCGUGCUUUCAAAACAAGCUUUAACAGUUUAACCCUUGUCUAAUCUUUCCUCAUCUUUUGUUUAAAUUUUCUGUCAGCCUAUUUUUUACCUUUUUCUAAAUUUCUUUAUUUUCAUCUUUUUUUUGCUGCGAUAAGGUUUGCGAUAUGAAAGUAGCAGGGGAAAGAAACUUUUAAGGAUGUAUCUGAGAUACAAUCAUUGACAAAAAUCCCCCAAAUUCGAAAAACUGGCAUAUCUACGCUAAACGUGCAGUAAACCUAGUGAUAACUGAUAUAAAUGAUAACUAACAUAAUAUAUUUAUUUUUAAAAAGUUAUUUUUCACAUUUUUCAGCGCUUUAUUAGGUUUAUUUGCCAUUUUACAACUUUCUACAAUAAAACUUUUGGCAGUGAAAAUGCCCAGAAUGCAACCUUAGAACAUCAAAUUUCUUAUUUAUUUAACACCAUUAUUUAACAGUGUAAUACAGAAAAAGUAAUUGGAAUAUAGUUAAAAAGGUUGAUAGCAAUGCACUUUUGACAUUGCGAGCUAACUUCUGUUUAGUCCUGCAUCGCAAUGUCAAAAGCCACAAAAAUGUAUCGGUGGAAAGGAAAAAUAAUUAGCGAAAGUACGUAUCGAAAGAGACUUGCGCAACAAAGAUGUGGAUUUUUAAGAAGAAAAGUUCAAAUUGUGCAAGAAGAAAAACUGAGCCUACCAUGGAGGAAAAUGUGAGCGAGAAACCAGAGUUUAUGUUGUUUAUCAAAAUUAUUUAAUUUUUAUUCUUGUUCUCUAAAUGAAAACAAUACAGAUAAAACGAGACUUUACGACGUGACUACUGUAUCGGUCAGGUUAUUCGUUUGACACGUUCAGCUGAUUGCGACGUUGCCGCACUUCUACAGUCCAGUAAUUGACAUAUUACAGAAACCGCAAAAUUGUCAUGAAUAAUAAUUAAUUUCUCCUAAACCGUGUUAUGAAACCUAAUCGAAUUUUGCACAAGUUCCAAUAAUCCAUGGUCUAUAUGUAUAAAAAAAAUUAAAAUUUUGGUACUAUUUUUUCUAUACUUUAUUACUUAUUUCAUUCAAGAAAAUUGCGUUUCCCAUAAGAACACGUGUAAAAUCAGACAUAAUUGAAAUAAUAAUUACUCUCUAACGAUUUAGUAAAUCUACUUAAAAUUUUUUUCAGUAUAUUACAGAUAACAAAGGAAGUGUUUCCCGAAGUUUCAUCAAUUUGGUACUAUUUUGAAAUAGCUCAGAUACAUCCUUAAGCGUAAGCAUUUUCUCGACCAGGCGCUAUUAUUGCAUUUGUUUUCAUGAAGGAGAAUCGUCUUCCUCUGUUGUUCAGAGGAAGAUUAGCAAAUGUUUUAGGAGAUAUAUUUAGGAUGUAUGUCAGAAUAUAGGGAACACUUUAAUUGCAUACUUUCAAAUGAUAUACUUCGACGAAGAGUUUUAUUGCGCGAAUAUAUUGUGCCGACGUAUGUACACGCGUGUCUGUGUCAUCAGUGCACACCGAGUUGCGAACAGUGUUGUACCUCCUGGCUGCAUAUGAGCAUUCGAAUAGAAGCUCGCAGGAGCUCAAGCAGUAAAAAAUUUUGAUUCAAUUUACAACGUCAAAAGAGACAGUUUAAAAGACUUGAGAAGAUUUUUUAUACGAGGAAAGUGAUUUGAAGGUACUGAGAACAUCGUAAAGAAAGUUAAUAUCACGAGGUCUCACAAUAAUCUCCCUUUAUGCAUCCAAGAGUUGAAUCACGUUCUUUGCUGUCGCAACGAAUCAAAUAGAUACGCAGCGCGUGCAGCACGUAUAUUUUUCUACCUCUUACUUUUCUGAUAGCGCCACUGAGAAAGUUAGGACGAGUCCGCAGGCUCCGAUGCGCGGUGCAGAAUAACAUAGAACCGUAUUAUAGUUGAUAAUUAUUAGCGUAACUUAUACAUAUAUACAUAUGUAGAGCGAUUAUUAUUCUCUAGAUACACACUCUCGAGAAACGAUUAAUGGUUCUCGAUAGAUCGGAAAAUCUCUCGCAUCCUGGCUGUCACUUUACAUCUACAUCACGGUUUUUAUGAUAGACAAAUCAAUUUUAUAUUACCAUCGUAAUGCGCGGAUCUCGAAAGAAAAAAUGUUGCGGAUACAGAUAUCUCUCAGGAUAAUACAAAAUUUGCAAAAAAAAGUA